CUAGACAGGACUCACUAGACAGGACUCUCUAGACAGGACUCACUAGACAGGACUCACUAGACAGGACUCUCUAGACAGGACUCUCUAGACAGGACUCACUAGACAGGAGUCUUUAGACAGGGCUCCCCUAGACAGGACUCACUAGACAGGACUCUCUAGACAGGACUCUCUAGACAGGAGUCUUUAGACAGGGCUCCCUAGACAGGACUCACUAGACAGGACUCUCUAGACAGGAUUUCCUAUGGUGAUGUUAGAUGUUAAACAGCAGACCCAGUUGAGAUGGUAUGGAUCGUAUGUCUUCAGCUAACCUAACAUAGCAGGUGUGAGGCGCUGGUUCUUUCUGUUGUGGGAGGUUCUCUUCUGCACUGUUCAACCAAUCCAGUAAAUGUGGAGGAGGAGUUAAGAUGGAGUGUCGCCUUGUUGACGUCCGAAAGCGGAAGCCGCAUCACAGGCUCUUUCCAUUUCCCAUGAAAACCAGGUGUAGUUAGCUAAUGGAUCUCCCCUGAUUUAGAGCUGUGAUGAGAGCGUAUGGAGGUCACAAACCCACCGUUUACAGGGGAGUAUGGCCUGGAGACACAGAGGGGAUAUUUACACCCAGCAUGACUUCCUAUAGGAAGUGACAUCAUCUCAGUCAGGUCCACAGGCUGGUUCCCCCUCUUUCCUUCUCAUCUAUCUUUACGUCUUUCUUUCUUUCAAUCAGCAUGGACAUGAAAGACAGCAGGGGGGUGAUGUCACUCAGACAGUGUGGGUGGGUGAUGUUCUAGUGAUGACUCGUAGUGAGCAGAUCACUGUUUUAUGUGGCUUAAUUAUAACCAUCUCCUCUCUCUAUCCCUCUCUCCCCUCUAUCUCUCCCAUUCCCCCUCUCUCUCUAUCCCUCUCUCCCCUCUAUCUCUCCCAUUCCUCCUCUCUCUAUCCCUCUCUUCCCCUCUCUCUCCCAUUCCCCCUCUCUCUCUAUCCCUCUCUCCCCUCUAUCUCUCCCAUUCCCCCUCUCUCUAUCCCUCUCUUCCCCUCUCUCUCCCAUUCCCCCUCUCUCUAUCCCUCUCUCUCCCCCAUUCCCCCUCUCUCUAUCCCUCUCUUCCCCUCUCUCUCCCAUUCCCCUCUCUCUCUAUCCCUCUCUCUCCCAUCCCCUCUCUAUCUCCCAUUCCCUCUCUCUCUAUCCCUCUCUUCCUUCUAUCUCUCCCAUCCCCUCUCUCUCUCUAUCCCUUUC
This 1207-nucleotide long non-coding RNA is filed under the name Salmo salar (Atlantic salmon). Its description in RNAcentral is "lncRNA (ENSSSAG00000117771.1)". Lineage: Eukaryota; Metazoa; Chordata; Actinopteri; Salmoniformes; Salmonidae. The record is from RNAcentral.